RNAcentral lists this ribosomal RNA (447 nucleotides) under uncultured bacterium. RNAcentral describes it as "partial 16S ribosomal RNA". It matches the Rfam family "Bacterial small subunit ribosomal RNA", at positions 338 to 795 of the family's 1533-position model. The record is from RNAcentral.
CCUACGGGUGGCAGCAGUAGGGAAUUUUCGGCAAUGGGGGGAACCCUGACCGAGCAACGCCGCGUGAACGAAGAAGUUAUUCGUAAUGUAAAGUUCUUUUAACAGGGAAGAACGAGAAAUUUGACGGUACCUGAAGAAUAAGCUCCGGCUAACUACGUGCAAGCAGACGCGGUAAUACGGAGGGAGCGAGCGUUAUCCGGAUUUAUUGGGUUCAAAGGGAGCGUAGACCGGCUUUUAAGUCAGCUGUGAAAGUCCGCGGCUCAACCGUGGAAUUGCAGUUGAAACUGGAGGUCUUGAGUACACACAGGGAUGCCGGAAUUCAUGGUGUAGGGGUGAAAUGCUUAGAUAUCAUGAAGAACUCCGAUCGCGAAGGCAAGUGUCCGGGGUGCAACUGACGCUGAGGCUCGAAAGUGCGGGUAUCAAACAGGAUUAGAUACCCCUGUAGUC